UGGGAUCACAUGUGGCAUCCUAUGACCCUGCUUUCUUCUGUACACCCCUUGCCAACCACAAGUGGAUUGGGAAUGGGGCCCGUCCCCAGUAGCCCGUGUCUAUGUCUGGCAUAGCAUCAUGAGCUGGGGCCAAUCCUCUGCCUCUCUCGGGAAAAAGUCCCCCAUCAGACACAAGGAGAUGAGAGGAGCAGACACACAGAGAGCCCCCAUCACAUUGAUGGUGCAACCCUAAGAAGCUUAGGAUCCAGUCAGUCCACCUCGGAGCAGACCUACAUUUCCAUCCUGAGCCCAGAGAAUCUUUUGGCUGGAAACCAAAGCAAACCGAGAGCAGCUCAUUCAUAGGACCCCAGUUGACCACAUCCACAGCAGAGAAAGGGGGGCUGCAGCCCAUAGACUCGGGGCUAUGCCUGCUGCCAGCACAGGAGAAAACACACCAGGGGCUGGAGACCCCAGGGGUCCCCCAGAAGAGGGGUGAUGGUGUAUUUCCCUAAGAGUUUUUUCUCCACCAUAUUUCCUGGAUGUAUCUCUGGGGUUGAUUCCACACAUCUCGCCAGCCCAGAAUGGGGAGAUCUGGCCUUUAUGUGUCAAAGGAUCUAUGUAGCAAUGGGGUUCAGCUUCUGCUCUGCAUGGCUUUAGGGAUUGCCAGCACGUGCUCCCCUUUUUCAUCCCAUCACAGUGAGCUACGAUUAUGUUUGGAGCAAGCCAAAAAGAAGAGUGAAGCAGGCUGGGUCUGCAUUAGAAACAUCUGAAGUUCAUACCAUAGGUUAGUGAGGUGAAGACAGACCAGGUUCCAUCCUAGGCUAUAGGCCACAGAACUCAACUUACGUCCAAUAAAUGAUCACUGUGUGC
This 849-nucleotide long non-coding RNA is filed under the name Homo sapiens (human). RNAcentral's name for it is "HSALNT0070316". Lineage: Eukaryota; Metazoa; Chordata; Mammalia; Primates; Hominidae. The record is from RNAcentral.